RNAcentral lists this ribosomal RNA (446 nucleotides) under uncultured bacterium. RNAcentral describes it as "partial 16S ribosomal RNA". It matches the Rfam family "Bacterial small subunit ribosomal RNA", at positions 338 to 795 of the family's 1533-position model. The record is from RNAcentral.
CCUACGGGAGACUGCAGUCGAGAAUCAUUCACAAUGGGGGAAACCCUGAUGGUGCGACGCCGCGUGGGGGAAUGAAGGUCUUCGGAUCGUAAACCCCUGUCAUGUGGGAGCAAAUUAAAAAGAUAGUACCACAAGAGGAAGAGACGGCUAAAUCUGUGCCAGCAGCCGCGGUAAUACAGAGGGCUCAAGCGUUGUUCGGAAUCACUGGGCGUAAAGGGUGCGGUGGCUGUUUCGUAAGUCGUGUGUGAAAGGCGCGGGCUCAACCCGCGGACGGCACAUGAAACUGGGAGACUAGAGUAAUGGAGGGGGAACCGGAAUGCUCGGUGUAGCAGUGAAAUGCGUAGAUAUCGAGAGGAACACUCGUGGCGAAGGCGGGUUCCUGGACAUUAACUGACGCUGAGGCACGAAGGCCAGGGGAGCGAAAGGGAUUAGAUACCCCAGUAGUC